UCCGUAGGCGGGCAAUUAAGUCAGAGGUGAAAUCCCACAGCUCAACUGUGGAACUGCCUUUGAUACUGGUUGUCUUGAGUUAUAGUGAAGUAGAUAGAAUAUGUAGUGUAGCGGUGAAAUGCAUAGAUAUUACAUAGAAUACCGAUUGCGAAGGCAGUCUACUAACUGUACACUGACGCUAAUGGACGAAAGCGUGGGGAGCGAACAGGAUUGAUACCCUGGUAGUCC
This 228-nucleotide ribosomal RNA is filed under the name uncultured bacterium. RNAcentral's name for it is "partial 16S ribosomal RNA". It matches the Rfam family "Bacterial small subunit ribosomal RNA", at positions 568 to 796 of the family's 1533-position model. The record is from RNAcentral.